Molecule: ribosomal RNA, 412 nt
Filed under: Weissella confusa
Lineage: Bacteria; Bacillati; Bacillota; Bacilli; Lactobacillales; Lactobacillaceae
Description: partial 23S ribosomal RNA
Rfam family: Eukaryotic large subunit ribosomal RNA
Source: RNAcentral
CGCUGAACUGAAGCAUCUCAUUAAGCGGAGGAAAAGAAACUAACUAGGAUUCCCUCAGUCAAGGCGAUCGAAGAGGGAAGAGCCCAACGUCUUAAUCCCUCAAAACUGGGAAAUGUAGACAGUGCCUCAAUUGCCGUCGACUAAGCAAGUCGGAUAUUGCGCGAUACAGAGUAAAAGCCUCGUAAGAUCAUGCGGCAAGCUAUGGGACAUUGGAGAGAGUCGGAUACCUUGAGAAUGGUGUCUUAAGUGGGUGGUACGUCCCAUCCAAGGCUAAAUACUGUGAGGAGACCGAUAGAUUACAAGUAGUGUGAACGAAAGAUGAAAAGGACUCCAUGACGGAACGUGAAAAGCGCCUGAACUUGGACCUAGAGAAGGCUAUUAUAUAGCGCCCGUCUUGUAACACGGAUUAGGG